Molecule: unclassified non-coding RNA, 148 nt
Organism: Macaca fascicularis (crab-eating macaque)
Lineage: Eukaryota; Metazoa; Chordata; Mammalia; Primates; Cercopithecidae
Rfam family: Metazoan signal recognition particle RNA
About the family: The signal recognition particle (SRP) is a universally conserved ribonucleoprotein. It is involved in the co-translational targeting of proteins to membranes. The eukaryotic SRP consists of a 300-nucleotide 7S RNA and six proteins: SRPs 72, 68, 54, 19, 14, and 9.
Source: Ensembl
GCUGGGCGUGGUGGCGCACACCUGUAGUCCCAGCUACUGAGGAGGCUGAGGCAGAAGAAUUGCUUGAACCUGGGAGAUGGAGGUUGCAGUGAGCCAAGAUUGUGCCACUGCACUCCAGCCUGGGCGACAGAGCAAGACUCUGUCUCAA